This 549-nucleotide long non-coding RNA is filed under the name Heterocephalus glaber (naked mole-rat). Its description in RNAcentral is "lncRNA (ENSHGLG00000049331.1)". The record is from RNAcentral. Lineage: Eukaryota; Metazoa; Chordata; Mammalia; Rodentia; Bathyergidae.
CCAGUCCCUUCGCCAGCGUUCUAGCGACGCUUUGGCGGCGGGAACCAUUCCCUCCGGGACCCAAAGGUGACGGUUAAGACAAUGGGCGCUCUUGCGCCCUGGGGACUUCGCCUGGGACGGAGAUCGCCUCUAGGCUGCAGCCUCCUGGUGGCGCCCAGCGAUGCCCCCUACUGGGCAGCCUGAGCCUGGAACAAGGCGCAGGGACUGCGGGUGCUCUUGGGGGCGCGGGGUUGCCCGGAUCUGCGCCCAGCGCAGGACCGCCGCCCUGGAAGAGGUCUUCGGACCCUGGAAGCCCGCGCCUGCCUCAGGGACAGCCUCUUGGGCGAAGCACAAAGCCCACCCCUGCCCCGCGCCUGCCCACGCCCAUUUAACGAGGUCAUUUAUAACAAACUCCCAUCUCCAAGUUUCUGUGUGCUUCAUUCCAUGGACACCUUCGCCCAGUUGGGGGAGGGAGACGCGGCGGAACCCUAGACGUCUUAGGACUUCUCUCCGAACCCGAACCCGGAGGUGUUUCCUUAAGUGCGCCUUUCUCUACACUUAAACCCCAGC